Sander lucioperca (pikeperch) is the source of this 479-nucleotide long non-coding RNA. RefSeq lists it as uncharacterized. The transcript is spliced from 2 exons. The record is from RefSeq and is a predicted model, not a curated record. Lineage: Eukaryota; Metazoa; Chordata; Actinopteri; Perciformes; Percidae.
AGACUACUACUACUCUAUCUGUAAAGUGUCUUGAGAUAACUCUUGUUAUGAUUUGAUACUGUAAAUCAAAUUUAAUUGAAUUGAAUUUAAUCAAAUAAUACCACAAUAAAUAUGCUACAACCCCAUGUUGUGUGAGGUCCAAGCCAAGCACACACACAAAACGUUAAGUAAAAAAGUUAUGAAAACAAGUAAUAAUAACACAAUUAUUUGAGUGGGACAUUGUUCCAUUUUACUUAACAUAAAAAAUGAGGUUAUUUUACAUUUGUCUUUUAAUAAUUUGUAUUAUAUUACAGAAUUAUAGAAGUAACGGGGUUGACAACAGCAUCCCCAUUUGGAAGACAUAUUUAUUUUGGAGACAGAUUUCAGUGGUUUUAGAAUUGAAGAUUAUGGAAAUAAAUGAUGAUACUGCAGACAGUUGUGUUAUUCUGAUUGAUUUAUUUCAUUUAUUUGUUUCACAAUAAAAUCAUUUAUUGAACAUG